RNAcentral lists this ribosomal RNA (683 nucleotides) under Streptomyces bauhiniae. Its description in RNAcentral is "partial 23S ribosomal RNA". It matches the Rfam family "Bacterial large subunit ribosomal RNA", at positions 2249 to 2925 of the family's 2925-position model. The record is from RNAcentral. Lineage: Bacteria; Bacillati; Actinomycetota; Actinomycetes; Kitasatosporales; Streptomycetaceae.
GGACAGUGUCUGAUGGGUAGUUUAACUGGGGCGGUUGCCUCCUAAAGAGUAACGGAGGCGCCCAAAGGUUCCCUCAGCCUGGUUGGCAAUCAGGUGUUGAGUGUAAGUGCACAAGGGAGCUUGACUGUGAGACCGACGGGUCGAGCAGGGACGAAAGUCGGGACUAGUGAUCCGGCGGUGGCUUGUGGAAGCGCCGUCGCUCAACGGAUAAAAGGUACCCCGGGGAUAACAGGCUGAUCUUCCCCAAGAGUCCAUAUCGACGGGAUGGUUUGGCACCUCGAUGUCGGCUCGUCGCAUCCUGGGGCUGGAGUCGGUCCCAAGGGUUGGGCUGUUCGCCCAUUAAAGCGGUACGCGAGCUGGGUUUAGAACGUCGUGAGACAGUUCGGUCCCUAUCCGCUGUGCGCGUAGGAAUAUUGAGAAGGGCUGUCCCUAGUACGAGAGGACCGGGACGGACGAACCUCUGGUGUGCCAGUUGUCCUGCCAAGGGCAUGGCUGGUUGGCUACGUUCGGGAGGGAUAACCGCUGAAAGCAUCUAAGCGGGAAGCCUGCUUCGAGAUGAGUAUUCCCACCUCCUUGAGAGGGUAAGGCUCCCAGUAGACGACUGGGUUGAUAGGCCAGAUAUGGAAGCCUGGUAACGGGUGGAGUUGACUGGUACUAAUAGGCCGAGGGCUUGUCCUCAGUUG